This 631-nucleotide ribosomal RNA is filed under the name Bacillus sp. (in: firmicutes). Its description in RNAcentral is "bacterial SSU rRNA". It matches the Rfam family "Bacterial small subunit ribosomal RNA", at positions 51 to 662 of the family's 1533-position model. Lineage: Bacteria; Bacillati; Bacillota; Bacilli; Caryophanales; Bacillaceae. The record is from RNAcentral.
AUACAUGCAAGUCGAGCGGACAGAAGGGAGCUUGCUCCCGGAUGUUAGCGGCGGACGGGUGAGUAACACGUGGGUAACCUGCCUGUAAGACUGGGAUAACUCCGGGAAACCGGAGCUAAUACCGGAUAGUUCCUUGAACCGCAUGGUUCAAGGAUGAAAGACGGUUUCGGCUGUCACUUACAGAUGGACCCGCGGCGCAUUAGCUAGUUGGUGGGGUAAUGGCUCACCAAGGCGACGAUGCGUAGCCGACCUGAGAGGGUGAUCGGCCACACUGGGACUGAGACACGGCCCAGACUCCUACGGGAGGCAGCAGUAGGGAAUCUUCCGAAUGGGACGAAAGUCUGACGGAGCAACGCCGCGUGAGUGAUGAAGGUUUUUCGGAUCGUAAAGCUCUGUUGUUAGGGAAGAACAAGUGCGAGAGUAACUGCUCGCACCUUGACGGUACCUAACCAGAAAGCCACGGCUAACUACGUGCCAGCAGCCGCGGUAAUACGUAGGUGGCAAGCGUUGUCCGGAAUUAUUGGGCGUAAAGGGCUCGCAGGCGGUUUCUUAAGUCUGAUGUGAAAGCCCCCGGGCUCAACCGGGGAGGGUCAUUGGAAAACUGGGAAACUUGAGUGCAGAAGAGGAGAGU